RNAcentral lists this ribosomal RNA (492 nucleotides) under uncultured bacterium. RNAcentral describes it as "partial 16S ribosomal RNA". It matches the Rfam family "Bacterial small subunit ribosomal RNA", at positions 29 to 507 of the family's 1533-position model. The record is from RNAcentral.
AGUGAACGCUGGCGGUAGGCCUAACACAUGCAAGUCGAACGGCAGCACAGUAAGAGCUUGCUCUUACGGGUGGCGAGUGGCGGACGGGUGAGGAAUACAUCGGAAUCUACUUUUUCGUGGGGGAUAACGUAGGGAAACUUACGCUAAUACAGCAUACGACCUACGGGUGAAAGCAGGGGAUCUUCGGACCUUGCGCGAUUGAAUGAGCCGAUGUCGGAUUAGCUAGUUGGCGGGGUAAAGGCCCACCAAGGCGACGAUCCGUAGCUGGUCUGAGAGGAUGGUCAGACACACUGGAACUGAGACACGGUCCAGACUCCUACGGGAGGCAGCAGUGGGGAAUAUUGGACAAUGGGCGCAAGCCUGAUCCAGCCAUACCGCGUGGGUGAAGAAGGCCUUCGGGUUGUAAAGCCCUUUUGUUGGGAAAGAAAAGCAGCAGGUUAAUACCCCGCUGUUCUGACGGUACCCAAAGAAUAAGCACCGGCUAACUUCGUG